Molecule: ribosomal RNA, 208 nt
Filed under: Oxyrrhis marina
Lineage: Eukaryota; Dinophyceae; Oxyrrhinales; Oxyrrhinaceae
Description: partial Eukaryotic large subunit ribosomal RNA
Rfam family: Eukaryotic large subunit ribosomal RNA
Source: RNAcentral
GGAUGGAUCUGAGUAAGAGCAUAGCUGUUGGGACCCGAAAGAUGGUGAACUAUGCGUGAAUAGGGUGAAGCCAGAGGAAACUCUGGUGGAGGCUCGCAGCGGUUCUGACGUGCAAAUCGAUCGUCAAAUUUGCGCAUAGGGGCGAAAGACUUAUCGAACCAUCUAGUAGCUGGUUCCUGCCGAAGUUUCCCUCAGGAUAGCAGUGAUA